RNAcentral lists this ribosomal RNA (434 nucleotides) under uncultured bacterium. Its description in RNAcentral is "bacterial SSU rRNA". It matches the Rfam family "Bacterial small subunit ribosomal RNA", at positions 954 to 1392 of the family's 1533-position model. The record is from RNAcentral.
GCUUAACGCGAAGAACCUUACCCAGACUUGACAUUCAUCAAAGGUGGCCCAAAAGCUGCUGUGCCCGCAAGGGAAUGGUGAGACAGGUGCUGCAUGGCUGUCGUCAGCUCGUGUCGUGAGAUGUUGGGUUAAGUCCCGCAACGAGCGCAACCCUCGCCUUUAGUUGCUCCGCAAGGAGAUCUCUAGAGGGACCGCCAGUGAUAAGCUGGAGGAAGGUGGGGAUGACGUCAAGUCCUCAUGGCCUUUAUGUCUGGGGCUACACACGUGCUACAAUGGCGAGUACAAAGCGUUGCCAACCCGCGAGGGGAGCUAAUCGCAUAAAACUCGUCUCAGUUCGGAUUGGAGUCUGCAACUCGGCUCCAUGAAGGAGGAAUCGCUAGUAAUCGCAGAUCAGCACGCUGCGGUGAAUACGUUCCCGGGUCUUGUACACACCG